This 497-nucleotide ribosomal RNA is filed under the name uncultured bacterium. RNAcentral's name for it is "partial 16S ribosomal RNA". It matches the Rfam family "Bacterial small subunit ribosomal RNA", at positions 28 to 507 of the family's 1533-position model. The record is from RNAcentral.
GAUGAACGCUGGCGGCGUGCCUAAUACAUGCGAGUCGAGCGAACAGAUGAGGAGCUUGCUCCUCUGACGUUAGCGGCGGACGGGUGAGUAACACGUGGAUAACCUACCUAUAAGACUGGGAUAACUUCGGGAAACCGGAGCUAAUACCGGAUAAUAUAUUGAACCGCAUGGUUCAAUAGUGAAAGACGGUUUUGCUGUCACUUAUAGAUGGAUCCGCGCCGCAUUAGCUAGUUGGUAAGGUAACGGCCUACCAAGGCGACGAUGCGUAGCCGACCUGAGAGGGUGAUCGGCCACACUGGAACUGAGACACGGUCCAGACUCCUACGGGAGGCAGCAGUAGGGAAUCUUCCGCAAUGGGCGAAAGCCUGACGGAGCAACGCCGCGUGAGUGAUGAAGGUCUUCGGAUCGUAAAACUCUGUUAUUAGGGAAGAACAAAUGUGUAAGUAACUAUGCACGUCUUGACGGUACCUAAUCAGAAAGCCACGGCUAACUACGUG